UAAGCCAUGCAUGUCUAAGUCCAAGCUGUGUGUUUGUGGGUGAAAGCUCGCACACACGGCGAAACCGCGGACGGCUCAUUAAAUCAGUUGUGGUCCAAAUGGGCUAGCGUUAUCUUACUUGGAUAACUGUGGUAAUUCCAGAGCUAAUACAUGCAACAGAUAGUUCGAACGACGUGUUUGUUGGGCAGGGGUCUCUCUGCCUUUCAUUCUUUCGUUGUAAGGACUGCUUUUAUUAGACCAAAACCGCAUAGGGAGUGAGAGUGUUUUAUCUUUUGCUCCUGACGACUCGUGUAAUGGUGACUCUGGAUAACAAUUUAUGACAAGCGCACGUAUCCAUUCAUAUGGGACGGCGCUUCCACUUUCGAGUGUCUGACUUAUCAGCUAUGAAUCGUUCGUUAUGUGCUACCGAUGGCUUUGACGGGUAACGGGGAAUCAGGGUUUGAUUCCGGAGAGGCAGCCUGAGAAACGGCUACCACGUCCAAGGACGGCAGCAGGCACGCAAAUUACCCAAUCCCAGCUACUGGGGGAGGUAGUGACGAAAUCUAACGAUGCGGGCGCCCCUUCUGGGGCCCCGCAAUCGGAAUGAGCAUUUUCUUUCUAAACACCCUGUUGAGAACCCACUGAAGGGCAAGUCUGGUGCCAGCAGCCGCGGUAAUUCCAGCUUCAGCAGCAUAUACUAAAGUUGCUGCGGUUAAAAGGCUCGCAGUUGAAUGUCAGUACCAAGUGUAGCGAUGGUGGACGUUGGGGUGUGGGAUCGGUCCCUCGUUAUUGCUGUGUUUGUGCGUUCGCUUUGCGGCGUGCGUAUAUAUCAUGGCUACGCGAGUGUGGUCGUUCUCCAUCUAUAGCCCCCGUCCGUAAACAGCCUCCUCACUUUCGUACAAAAUGGAAUCUAUACGUUUUAAAGUAUUGAGUUUCUUUGGCUUUACUAUUGCGUCGCGUACUUUACUGUGCGUGGCGUGGUUUGGUCUUUGAUUCUUGUGCCCGGGAAUAUGGUCCCAAUGUUACCUUGAGUAAAUUGGAGUGCUCAAAGCAGUCGUAAGGAAUGUGCAGUUAACGCUGUACGUUCUGUGAUGAAUGUCUUCGGACAGACAGUCUUGGUUUUGCAUGGUAUGUCGAAAGACGCCGUAUAAUCUCCUGUUGGUAACGAGUCUGGGGCGGGCUCGUACCUUAGACACGCGCGCUCAUACUCUUUCGGGGGUGUGUCUGUGUGUUGUUGAGAGAGUGCGACAUAUGAGACCAACAGGUACGGAAUGAUUAAAAGGCUCGGUCGAGGGUAUCGGUAUUGCGAGGCGAGAGGUGAAAUUCUAUGACCCCCGCAAGACCUCCUGAAGCGAAAGCGUCUGCCAUGGACGUUUUCAUAAUCAGGCGUGGCCCUGCGGCUUAUUUGACUCAACACGGGCCAUCUCACCAGGCCAGCACUCUUGUAUGAUUGACAGAUUGAAAGUUCUUUCUCGAUUCAGUGGAUGGUGGUGCAUGGCCGUUCUUAGUUGGUGGAGUGAUCUGUCUGGUUAAUUCCGAUAACGAACGAGACUCUCCCCUGCUAACUAGUCGGUUGGAUCUUGCGUCUGGAGAGUUGUGUAUUCGCUUGCGCUCGUUCGUUGCUUUCAUUGGGUAUUUGUGUGUGUUGCUCCUCCGUGGGUGAUAUAUAUUUUAUUCGAUGUUUAGUGUACUUACGCGGUGUCUUUGUGUUUCACACUCCAAGUCCGCCGCUUAUUCAAAAUGUGAUGUCUAACAGCAAAGCGAUAUAUGUGUAAAACUCUUCUUAGAGGGAUUCACGGUUCUGAAACCGUAAGAAACUGAGAGCAAUAACAGGUCUGUGAUGCCCUUAGAUGUUCUGGGCCGCACGCGCGCUACAAUGCCGGGCUCAGCAGGUACUUAUCCUUCUCCGAGAGGAGUGGGUAAUCCUCUGAAAGCCCUUCAAACAAUAUUCAAAGGCUUACGUCUCUCACGUGUUAUGCGCGAGAACGUGAUCUCUUCCUUGGCUUGCUUGGGCCUGGGGCUUGCAAUUCUUUCCCACAAACGAGGAAUGCCUAGUAGCGGCGGAUCACGGAGUUCGCUGUGACUCAGUCCCUGCCCUUUGUACACACCGCCCGUCGCUACUACCGAUUGGGUGUACCAGUGAGAUCUUUGGACUGGCGAGCCUUGUGUUCUUUACCGAGCGCAAGUGUGUACGACGGGAAGAGGCUCGAACUGGUGCACUUAGAGGUANGUNAAAGU
This 2217-nucleotide ribosomal RNA is filed under the name Epimeria macrodonta. RNAcentral's name for it is "partial 18S ribosomal RNA". It matches the Rfam family "Eukaryotic small subunit ribosomal RNA". Lineage: Eukaryota; Metazoa; Arthropoda; Malacostraca; Amphipoda; Epimeriidae. The record is from RNAcentral.